RNAcentral lists this ribosomal RNA (229 nucleotides) under uncultured bacterium. RNAcentral describes it as "partial 16S ribosomal RNA". It matches the Rfam family "Bacterial small subunit ribosomal RNA", at positions 568 to 796 of the family's 1533-position model. The record is from RNAcentral.
UGCGCAGGUGGGCUUGUAAGUCAGUGGUGAAAUACUGCCGCUUAACGGUAGAACUGCCAUUGAUACUGCAAGUCUUGAGUAUGGUUGAGGUAGGCGGAAUGUGUUGUGUAGCGGCGAAAUGCAUAGAUAUGACACAGAACUCCAAUUGCGAAGGCAGCUUACUAAGCCAUUACUGACGCUGAGGCACGAAAGCGUGGGGAGCGAACAGGAUUAGAUACCCUGGUAGUCC